AGUUAAUUAGUUAAUUUAAAACAGUUACUUUGAAAGUAAAAGAAAAGGAUUAAUAUCCUAUUAACUU
Molecule: transfer RNA, 67 nt
Filed under: Derotettix mendosensis
Lineage: Eukaryota; Metazoa; Arthropoda; Insecta; Hemiptera; Cicadidae
Description: tRNA-Ser
Rfam family: tRNA
About the family: Transfer RNA (tRNA) molecules are approximately 80 nucleotides in length. Their secondary structure includes four short double-helical elements and three loops (D, anti-codon, and T loops).
Source: RNAcentral